Molecule: long non-coding RNA, 1015 nt
Filed under: Heterocephalus glaber (naked mole-rat)
Lineage: Eukaryota; Metazoa; Chordata; Mammalia; Rodentia; Bathyergidae
Description: lncRNA (ENSHGLG00100038414.1)
Source: RNAcentral
GCCAGACUCAGACUUAGGCAUGGCUUGAACAUGCCUGCAAGCGAAGUACUUUCUCCAUUUUACAGAUGGAGAAACAGAGGCACAGAAAGGCUAGGUGUAGCACAGCUAGUAAAUGGUGGAUCCCAGGCCCUGAAGGGGCAAGCACCAUGCUUCUGGGCCCAGUGCACUGAGGACCUGCAUGUGUGUGGGUAGAUGUGUGAAUAAUGACGACACAGGGUCUAGGAGAGGAUGCGGGGUGUGUGACAUUUUGUGAGACAAAAUCUCUGGGGGCCCAAGGGGACGCAGCUUAGACAUUUACAGGGAGAGAUUCCCCAGCAACCAGUGGCCCUGGUAAGAGGACUUGGGGCCCUCCUUUCCUCCCUGUGCCUGCCCCAGGGACAGGGCUGCCAUGCUGCCCCCAAAGGGCCGGAAACCCCUUUGCAGAGCUGUGGGCUUAGGAACUUGCAUCUCUUCCUACCUCAGUGUCCAAGCACCAUGCAACCAGGCUCCCCAUAGGGAGCUGCCUGAGGAAGGGGAGGGAGGGGAGUUGCCUUGGCCCUUGGGGCCCCAGCAGGUUUGAGUCCCCUGUGAGCAGCACCCCCAAAUCUGCAGAGUGGGAUGCAGUUGAUACGCUAUGUAAAGAUGUUAGCCUUUAACUCCUCUGUCCUACUUUUCAGUGGUUGUUUCAAGCUAUUAGGUCUUGGGAUAGUUUGUUAUGCAAAAAAAUCAAACCAAACUGCCAAGACAAAUUUGGGGAACAAGGCCACAGAAACCAGACUUACGCUAAGCAGUAAUAAUCCCUGUGUCAUCCUAGAAUGGAGGUGGGCAGAGGCGAGGAACAGACCUGUGAAUAGGUGACGCGUGACAGAGCAGGGGACGGAGAUCAGAAUGGUUAAUGUGGCUGACAGAGCUGUCUGUCCAUUCGGGGACAAACACAGUUACAUUCCUGCCUUAUAUUUUACACAAACAUGAAUCCCAGAUGGGUUAUAAAGCUAAAUGUGUGUGAGUAGCCAAACAAUAAAAUGUUUAGACAAAA